ACAGAGGUGGCAAGCGUUGUUCGGAAUUACUGGGCGUAAAGGGCGCGUAGGCGGUCUUUCAAGUUCCGUGUGAAAUCCCUCGGCUCAACUGGGGAACGGCACGGGAAACUGGAAGGCUUGAGUUCGGGAGAGGGAAGCGGAAUUCCGGGUGUAGCGGUGAAAUGCGUAGAUAUCCGGAGGAACACCGGUGGCGAAGGCGGCUUCCUGGACCGACACUGACGCUGAGGCGCGAAAGCGUGGGGAGCAAACAGGA
Molecule: ribosomal RNA, 253 nt
Filed under: uncultured prokaryote
Description: partial 16S ribosomal RNA
Rfam family: Bacterial small subunit ribosomal RNA
Source: RNAcentral